GUGGGGAAUCUUCCGCAAUGGACGAAAGUCUGACGGAGCAACGCCGCGUGAGUGAAGAAGGUUUUCGGAUCGUAAAGCUCUUUCGUUAGGGACGAACGUGCUCUUUGUGAAUAAUGAGGAGUAAUGACGGUACCUAAAUAAGAAGCCACGGCUAACUACGUGCCAGCAGCCGCGGUAAUACGUAGGUGGCAAGCGUUGUCCGGAAUUAUUGGGCGUAAAGCGCUCGCAGGCGGGAUAUCAAGUCUGUCUUAAAAGUGAGAGGCUCAACCUCGUGAGGGAACAGAAACUGGUAUUCUUGAGUGUCGGAGAGGAAAGUGGAAUUCCAAGUGUAGCGGUGAAAUGCGUAGAGAUUUGGAAGAAUACCAGUGGCGAAGGCGACUUUCUGGACGAUGUCUGACGCUGAGGCGCGAAAGCUAGGGGAGCGAACGGGAUUAGAAACCCCUGUAGUUC
RNAcentral lists this ribosomal RNA (450 nucleotides) under uncultured bacterium. Its description in RNAcentral is "partial 16S ribosomal RNA". It matches the Rfam family "Bacterial small subunit ribosomal RNA", at positions 354 to 796 of the family's 1533-position model. The record is from RNAcentral.